This 253-nucleotide ribosomal RNA is filed under the name uncultured bacterium. RNAcentral describes it as "partial 16S ribosomal RNA". It matches the Rfam family "Bacterial small subunit ribosomal RNA", at positions 524 to 776 of the family's 1533-position model. The record is from RNAcentral.
UCCGUCGGGGGCUCUCUUUUUCCGGCCUUAUUGGGCGUAAAGCGCGCGCAGGCGGUCUCUUAAGUCUGAUGUGAAAGCCCACGGCUCAACCGUGGAGGGUCAUUGGAAACUGGGGGACUUGAGGGCAGGAGAGGAGAGCGGAAUUCCACGUGUAGCGGUGAAAUGCGUAGAGAUGUGGAGGAACACCAGUGGCGAAGGCGGCUCUCUGGCCUGCACCUGACGCUGAGGCGCGAAAGCGUGGGGAGCAAACAGG